RNAcentral lists this ribosomal RNA (162 nucleotides) under Avena magna. RNAcentral's name for it is "5.8S ribosomal RNA". It matches the Rfam family "5.8S ribosomal RNA". Rfam says of the family: 5.8S ribosomal RNA (5.8S rRNA) is a component of the large subunit of the eukaryotic ribosome. It is transcribed by RNA polymerase I as part of the 45S precursor that also contains 18S and 28S rRNA. Lineage: Eukaryota; Viridiplantae; Streptophyta; Magnoliopsida; Poales; Poaceae. The record is from RNAcentral.
ACACGACUCUCGGCAACGGAUAUCUCGGCUCUCGCAUCGAUGAAGAACGUAGCGAAAUGCGAUACCUGGUGUGAAUUGCAGAAUCCCGCGAACCAUCGAGUGUUUGAACGCAAGUUGCGCCCGAGCCAUUCGRCCAAGGGCACGCCUGCCUGGGCGUCACGC